Non-coding RNA from Canis lupus familiaris (dog), 105 nucleotides. Lineage: Eukaryota; Metazoa; Chordata; Mammalia; Carnivora; Canidae. The record is from Rfam.
CACUCACUAUAGCAGUCCUAUACUAAAAUUGGAACCACACAGGGAAGAGAAGCAUGACCCCUGAACAAAGAUGACAUACAGAUUUGUGAAUAGUUCCAUAUUAAG